Molecule: ribosomal RNA, 478 nt
Filed under: uncultured bacterium
Lineage: Bacteria
Description: bacterial SSU rRNA
Rfam family: Bacterial small subunit ribosomal RNA
Source: RNAcentral
UUUCGCAAUGCCCGAAAGGGUGACGAAGCGACGCCGCGUGUGGGAAGAAGGCCUUCGGGUUGUAAACCACUGUCGGGAGUUAGGAAGUGCAGGUGCGUUAAUAGCGCACUUGCUUGACUAAGGCUCCAGAGGAAGCCACGGCUAACUCUGUGCCAGCAGCCGCGGUAAUACAGAGGCGGCAAGCGUUGUUCGGAAUUAUUGGGCGUAAAGAGCACGUAGGCGGCCUUGCAAGUCAGUUGUGAAAGCCUUCCGCUUAACGGAAGAACGGCAUCUGAUACUACAGGGCUUGAGUACGGGAGGGGAGAGUGGAACUUCUGGUGGAGCGGUGAAAUGCGUAGAUAUCAGAAGGAACGCCGGCGGCGAAAGCGACUCUCUGGUCCGAAACUGACGCUGAGUGUGCGAAAGCUAGGGGAUCAAACGGGAUUAGAUACCCCGGUAGUCCUAGCCGUAAACGAUGGGCACUAAGUAGAGGGGUUUU